Molecule: transfer RNA, 72 nt
Filed under: Loxodonta africana (African savanna elephant)
Lineage: Eukaryota; Metazoa; Chordata; Mammalia; Proboscidea; Elephantidae
Rfam family: tRNA
About the family: Transfer RNA (tRNA) molecules are approximately 80 nucleotides in length. Their secondary structure includes four short double-helical elements and three loops (D, anti-codon, and T loops).
Source: Rfam by way of RNAcentral
GCCCUGGUGGCACAAUGGUUAAGUGCUAGGCUGAUAAACAAAAGGUUGGUGGUUCCAACCCACCCAGAGGCU